This 253-nucleotide ribosomal RNA is filed under the name uncultured bacterium. RNAcentral's name for it is "partial 16S ribosomal RNA". It matches the Rfam family "Bacterial small subunit ribosomal RNA", at positions 524 to 776 of the family's 1533-position model. The record is from RNAcentral.
UACGUAGGGUGCGAGCGUUGUCCGGAAUUAUUGGGCGUAAAGAGCUCGUAGGUGGUUUGUCGCGUUGUUCGUGAAAUCUCACGGCUUAACUGUGAGCGUGCAGGCGAUACGGGCAGACUUGAGUACUGCAGGGGAGACUGGAAUUCCUGGUGUAGCGGUGGAAUGCGCAGAUAUCAGGAGGAACACCGGUGGCGAAGGCGGGUCUCUGGGCAGUAACUGACGCUGAGGAGCGAAAGCGUGGGGAGCGAACAGG